GAUGAACGCUGGCGGCGUGCCUAAUACAUGCAAGUCGAGCGAACGGACGAGAAGCUUGCUUCUCUGAUGUUAGCGGCGGACGGGUGAGUAACACGUGGAUAACCUACCUAUAAGACUGGGAUAACUUCGGGAAACCGGAGCUAAUACCGGAUAAUAUUUUGAACCGCAUGGUUCAAAAGUGAAAGACGGUCUUGCUGUCACUUAUAGAUGGAUCCGCGCUGCAUUAGCUAGUUGGUAAGGUAACGGCUUACCAAGGCAACGAUGCAUAGCCGACCUGAGAGGGUGAUCGGCCACACUGGAACUGAGACACGGUCCAGACUCCGACGGGAGGCAGCAGUAGGGAAUCUUCCGCAAUGGGCGAAAGCCUGACGGAGCAACGCCGCGUGAGUGAUGAAGGUCUUCGGAUCGUAAAACUCUGUUAUUAGGGAAGAACAUAUGUGUAAGUAACUGUGCACAUCUUGACGGUACCUAAUCAGAAAGCCACGGCUAACUACGU
Molecule: ribosomal RNA, 496 nt
Filed under: uncultured bacterium
Lineage: Bacteria
Description: partial 16S ribosomal RNA
Rfam family: Bacterial small subunit ribosomal RNA
Source: RNAcentral